Molecule: ribosomal RNA, 465 nt
Filed under: Vreelandella stevensii
Lineage: Bacteria; Pseudomonadati; Pseudomonadota; Gammaproteobacteria; Oceanospirillales; Halomonadaceae
Description: partial 16S ribosomal RNA
Rfam family: Bacterial small subunit ribosomal RNA
Source: RNAcentral
CCUACGGGUGGCUGCAGUGGGGAAUAUUGGACAAUGGGGGGAACCCUGAUCCAGCCAUGCCGCGUGUGUGAAGAAGGCCCUCGGGUUGUAAAGCACUUUCAGUGAGGAAGAACGCCUGGUGGUUAAUACCCAUCAGGAAAGACAUCACUCACAGAAGAAGCACCGGCUAACUCCGUGCCAGCAGCCGCGGUAAUACGGAGGGUGCGAGCGUUAAUCGGAAUUACUGGGCGUAAAGCGCGCGUAGGUGGCUUGAUAAGCCGGUUGUGAAAGCCCCGGGCUCAACCUGGGAACGGCAUCCGGAGCUGUCAAGCUAGAGUGCAGGAGAGGAAGGUAGAAUUCCCGGUGUAGCGGUGAAAUGCGUAGAGAGCGGGAGGAAUACCAGUGGCGAAGGCGGCCUUCUGGCCUGACACUGACACUGAGGUGCGAAAGCGUGGGUAGCAAACGGGAUUAGAUACCCCAGUAGUC